GCCGAGGGCAMGUUUGCCUGGGCGUCA
RNAcentral lists this ribosomal RNA (27 nucleotides) under Penstemon hallii. Its description in RNAcentral is "partial 5.8S ribosomal RNA". The record is from RNAcentral. Lineage: Eukaryota; Viridiplantae; Streptophyta; Magnoliopsida; Lamiales; Plantaginaceae.